Molecule: small nuclear RNA, 162 nt
Organism: Quercus robur (English oak)
Lineage: Eukaryota; Viridiplantae; Streptophyta; Magnoliopsida; Fagales; Fagaceae
Product: U1 spliceosomal RNA
Exons: 1
Source: RefSeq, a predicted model, not a curated record
AUACUUACCUGGACGGGGUCAAUGGGUGAUCAAAAAUGCCCAUGGCCUAGGUCAGUGACCUCCAUUGCACUAUGGGAGGGGUGCUGCCCUAAGGUCUGCCCAAGUGGCAGAGCCUACGUCGUAAUUUGUGGUAGUGGGGGCCUGCGUUCGCGCGGCCCCUAU